CGAUGUUUAACCAUGAACCAUAGUGUUGAUGGUGUCUACUGAUCAUGAAGAAAUCUAGUGGCUAAAUCUGAUUAGGGGUUGGAAUCAUUGGUGAGGGGAUCAAAGGGAGGCUGAGGAGGCUUAAAUAAAGUGGGAAAUGCACUGAGAAUCCAUCUCGGCAAUGGAUUCUCUCCAGCAAACUUGGGGAGGAGAUUUCUAUCGAGAAUCUCUUUCUUUCACACACGCACCAAGCACACCCACCCCCUCUCUUUUUUGUUUUUUGGGGCUUUUUUUCAAAUAUUUGG
Molecule: long non-coding RNA, 284 nt
Filed under: Elaeis guineensis (African oil palm)
Lineage: Eukaryota; Viridiplantae; Streptophyta; Magnoliopsida; Arecales; Arecaceae
Description: long non-coding RNA (EGUI_LNC033193)
Source: RNAcentral